ACGUGCCCGUGCGUUCUGAAUAUUCUGCAAGGUCCCUGCUCAGGCAGGUUUUCCAUGGCAUAAACCGGGAGCACGGCCAGAUGUUGGGAAGAGCAUGCCUGUCCUCUUCCUAAGUGGGUCCGGUCCACAGACUCUUCGGUCAUCGCUGCCAGGCACUGGUUGUCAUCUUCCUCGACCCCAGGGAAGGAGGCCUGCGCUUUGCCAUCCAAUGCUUCCGCGUGAGCAUGCUGCGGGUCUCUCCUUUCUAGUUGGAGCCACUGUCCCAACCGUUCUCUGUACUUUCCGAGUUGCUUUCAUUGUCGUCGGAGGAGCAGAAUCUCAGCUGGGA
Molecule: long non-coding RNA, 328 nt
Organism: Eptesicus fuscus (big brown bat)
Lineage: Eukaryota; Metazoa; Chordata; Mammalia; Chiroptera; Vespertilionidae
Exons: 3
Source: RefSeq, a predicted model, not a curated record